Molecule: ribosomal RNA, 688 nt
Filed under: Denitrificimonas caeni
Lineage: Bacteria; Pseudomonadati; Pseudomonadota; Gammaproteobacteria; Pseudomonadales; Pseudomonadaceae
Description: bacterial SSU rRNA
Rfam family: Bacterial small subunit ribosomal RNA
Source: RNAcentral
CAAGGUCCGAAGCGGGUAACAGGAAAGAAGCUUGCUUCUUCUGCUGACGAGCGGCGGACGGGUGAGUAAUGCCUGGGAAUCUGCCUGAUGGUGGGGGAUAACUUGCGGAAACGUAAGCUAAUACCGCAUACCUCCUACGGAACAAAGGAGGGGACCUUCGGGCCUUUCGCUAUUAGAUGAGCCCAGGUGGGAUUAGUUAGUUGGUGAGGUAAUGGCUCACCAAGACCACGAUCCCUAACUGGUCUGAGAGGAUGAUCAGUCACACUGGAACUGAGACACGGUCCAGACUCCUACGGGAGGCAGCAGUGGGGAAUAUUGCACAAUGGGGGCAACCCUGAUCCAGCCAUGCCGCGUGUGUGAAGAAGGUCUUCGGAUUGUAAAGCACUUUCAGUUGGGAGGAAGAGCAUUUAGUUAAUAUUUGACUGUUUUGACGUUACCGACAGAAUAAGCACCGGCUAACUUCGUGCCACCACCCCCGGUAUUACGAAGGGUGCGAGCGUUAAUCCGAAAUUACUGGGCGUAAACCGCGCGUAGGUGGUUCAGUAAUUUAAUAUUGAAAUCUCUGCGCCUUAGCUUGGGAAAUUGCUUCUGAAACUGGCUGAGCUGAAUUACGGUAAAAGGGUGGUGUAUUUUCGUUUGUAGCGGUGAAGUGCAUAGAGUUUAGGAGGAAAAACGACUUGGGAAGGCC